GUGGCAUGUGGCGAGCCUAAGCCGUUGAGGUGGACGCGUAGCGCCAGCGAGUCUUAAAAGGCGUUCCAGUUGCGUGUCCUGGACACGAAGCUGGAUGAUCUAGCCCUGGGCAGGUUCCAGCGCGGGUAAGACCGCGUGGAGGACCGCACCCACUUAGGUUGAAAACUGAGGGGAUGACCUGGGGUUAGGGGUGAAAGGCCAAUCAAAUUCCGUGAUAGCUGGUUCUCUCCGAAAUGCAUUUAGGUGCAGCGUUGGUNGAUUGCGCGCAGGGGGUAGAGCGACUGGAUGCUUGCGGGCCCGUACCGGGUACCAAUAGCAACCAAACUCCGAAUACCUGUCGUGUGUAUGCCAGCAGUGAGUCGGCGGGGGAUAAGCUCCGUCGUCGAGGGGGAGACAGCCCUGACCGUCGUCUAAGGUCCCCAAGCGCGUGCUAAGUGGGAAAGGAUGUGGAGUCGCAUAGACAGCCAGGAGGUUGGCUCAGAAGCAGCCAUCCUUGAAAGAGUGCGUAACAGCUCACUGGUCUAGUGGUUCCGCGCCGACAAUGUAGCGGGGCUCAAGCACGCCACCGAAGACGCGGCAGCAACCAUAUUGGUUGUUGGGUAGGAGAGCGUCCCAUUCUGGGUUGAAGCCGCGGAGUGAUCCUGUGGUGGACCGUAUGGGAGUGAGAAUGCAGACAUGAGUAGCGAGAGCAAGGUGAGGAUCCUUGCCGCUGGAUGACCAAGGGUUCCAGGGCCACGUUCGUCGUCCCUGGGUGAGUCGGGUCCUAAGGCGAGGCCGACAGGCGUAGUCGAAUGGAUGAACGGGUUGAUAUUCCCGUACCGGCCCUUUGACCGACCAAACGGCCCCCUGGCCGAACACACAUUUCCGUGUUGGUUCCCAUGCCUUUCGGGGUGUGGGGCGAUGCAUGGGUCUGUGUGGGGCGCCUUGGGGCCGAGCGCGUGGAGUGACGCGGACGGGUAGCCGGCCGGGGAGGUGGUUUUCCCUGGUCAAGCGUGUGGCCCCGCCCCCAGGCAAAUCCGGGGGCAUCAUGGGGUGAGGCGUGACGAUGGGGGCCCUUGUGGCCCGAUAUCCGGUGAUCCCGUCGGCCGAGAAAAGCUUCGGCGUGAGGUCUUGGGCCGCUCGUACCCCAAACCGACACAGGUGGUCAGGUAGAGUAUACCAAAGCGAGCGAGCGAAUCCUGGUCAAGGAACUCGGCAAACCGCUCCCGUGCCUUCGGCAUAAGGGAGACCCCCCGCGGUGACGGGCCCUCGCGGCCUCGAGCGGUGGGGGGUGGCACAAGCCAGGGGGUAGCGACUGUUUACCAAAAACACAGGUGCAUGCCAAGACGCAAGUCGCCGUAUAUGCACUGACGCCUGCCCGGUGCCGGAAGGUUAAGAGGAUCCAUCAGCCCCUUGUGGGCGAAGUGGUGAAUUCAAGCCCCGGUAAACGGCGGUGGUAACUAUAACCAUCCUAAGGUAGCGAAAUUCCUUGUCGGGUAAGUUCCGACCUGCACGAAUGGCGUAACGACUUCCCCGCUGUCUCGACCAGGAGCUCGGCGAAAUUGCAGUACGAGUAAAGAUGCUCGUUAAGCGCAGAAGGACGAAAAGACCCCGGGACCUUUACUAUACCUUGGUAUUGGCAUCAGGUGCGGAUUGUGUAGCAUAGGCGGGAGACUGUGAAGCACGCACGCCAGUGUGUGUGGAGUCGACAGGUGAAAUACCGCUCUGUCCCCAUCUGAUGCCUAACCCGGACAAGUGAGCCUUGUCGGGGACAGUGCCUGGCGGGUAGUUUAACUGGGGCGGUUGCCUCCCAAAGAGUAACGGAGGCGCUCAAAGGUCCGCUCGGCCCGGUUGGCAAUCGGGUGUCGAGUGUAAUCGCACAAGCGGGCUUGACUGCGAGAUCGACGGAUCGAGCAGGGACGAAAGUCGGAGAUAGUGAUCCGGUGCCGGCGUACGGACGCGGCAUCGCUCAACGGAUAAAAGGUACCCCGGG
This 1972-nucleotide ribosomal RNA is filed under the name Bifidobacterium pseudolongum subsp. globosum. RNAcentral describes it as "bacterial LSU rRNA". It matches the Rfam family "Bacterial large subunit ribosomal RNA", at positions 630 to 2472 of the family's 2925-position model. Lineage: Bacteria; Bacillati; Actinomycetota; Actinomycetes; Bifidobacteriales; Bifidobacteriaceae. The record is from RNAcentral.